GAGUUUGAUCCUGGCUCAGGACGAACGCUGGCGGCGUGCCUAACACAUGCAAGUCGAGCGGAGACAGUGAGUAGCUUGCUAUGAGCUGUUUUAGCGGCGGACGGGUGAGUAACGCGUGAGCAACCUUUCCCAGACAGGGGAAUAACACACCGAAAGGUGUACUAAUACCGCAUAAGACCACGGGAUCACAUGGUUCUGAGGUAAAAGAUUUAUCGGUUUGGGGUGGGCUCGCGUCCGAUUAGGUAGUUGGUGAGGUAACGGCCCACCAAGCCGACGAUCGGUAGCCGACCUGAGAGGGUGAUCGGCCACAUUGGGACUGAGACACGGCCCAAACUCCUACGGGAGGCAGCAGUGGGGAAUAUUGGGCAAUGGAGGGAAACCCUGACCCAGCAACGCCGCGUGGAGGAAGAAGGUUUUCGGAUCGUAAACUCCUGUCCUUGGAGACGAGUAGAAGACGGUAUCCAAGGAGGAAGCCCCGGCUAACUACGUGCCAGCAGCCGCGGUAAUAC
RNAcentral lists this ribosomal RNA (509 nucleotides) under uncultured bacterium. RNAcentral's name for it is "bacterial SSU rRNA". It matches the Rfam family "Bacterial small subunit ribosomal RNA", at positions 9 to 526 of the family's 1533-position model. The record is from RNAcentral.